CUGCGUGUGUGUGUGUACACGUACACAUUCGGCUGUGUGUGUGUGUGUGUGUGUGUGUGUGUGUGUGUGUGUGUGCGCGCGCGCGUCUGAACGUGAGCAAGUUGAGGGAAAGUGGACGACAUAGCUCGCGCGCUAUUCCUACAAUUAUUUUUUUUUCAAAGCCGAGGAGGAGAAAGUCGAAACUAUUAUGGUUUAUUAAUUUGGGACCUGGGAAACAAGCUACCAGGACUGGCUACGUCGCUAGCAAACUAAAUGAACGUACAAUAACGAAGUCGGUUUUAGUUCAAAUUGGUCUUAAUCAAGCCUGUCACAUAACGGAUUUCGACCGCUAUUAUGUCAAGAUAUUUACCUGCACAAAAUAUGGUAUUGGGGGCUGGUAUUGGGGGCUGGUUAUUCUCUUCAACAAAAGUUGAGUUUGUCAUCAUUGUGUGUGUGUGCGUGUGUGAGUGAGUGAGUGAGUGAGUGACUGUGUGUGUGUGAAUGUGUGUUACUGUUUGCUUUAGUAAGUCUGUGCCUUUUAAUGUGCAAACUGCUGUACAUUUCAAAGUAGUUGUUGCAUGGCUUCACACCAGCAACACAAAUAGCUAAGUGAAGAUAGAUAAGCCAUAUCCGUAAAAGUUCAGGAUGUUGAAGACUUUAACCAAGAAGCUAAGAAGACACUCGCUCAACGAGAUUCAUCCUUUUCAAUUUAAGAUUUCCUACCAUGGAAGUGGGGAGGGAGCGGAGAGCGACGAUUCCGAGGGGGAGAACCAGGAGCUUGCACAGAUUGACAGAGAGAGGCGGCGGAACUGCGGCCUCACCCCUCUGGCAACCAGCCAGCAGCACAAUCAGGGUCCCCUAUCUCCGGCACGCCUCCAUCACCUACGCCUCCUUCUAGACCCGACUCUGGACCGUCACUCGUCUGAAGAAGAGCUGGAGCGAAUCAGCCACGGCGUUGGAGACGGCAGGAAGUGGACGCUGCACCAUCGCCACGGUGACCACCCCAGCAGUGCCUCCAGCGACGAGGAGGUGUGGGACCUGUGUGGCUGUGGCCCAGUUGCAGCAUCCUUGGAGCCUGGGACUUGCCUGGCCGCUUCCACCAGCCCGGUGCUCUUUAGCUCAAGCCCACCUCACAACCUCAAGCCACCGCCUCCAAUUAAGCUCCAGUUCCAGGGGGUGCAGCCUGCUGCCAAGCCUAUCAUCUUGACCCACUUCGACCAGUCGGCGGCUCCCUAUAGGAAACACAGGCACAGCUACGGGGGAGAGCUGGGGAGGCCAAGUCUGGACCUGGAGAAAAUGCAACAGAAAAUGCUCCUGAAAAAUAACUGUGGUGGGAAAACACGGACCAUAAAGAUCCGGCAAAUGGCGGGGAUUUGGGCAUGAUCCCUGGAAAGCAGUAUAUCCUUCUCAUCGGACUCGUUAAAGGAAAAAGCUUCUUCCAGUUUGAGAGCUUGACUGGGACUCGCCCUCUGCCCAGGUACGCCUACGAUCCCUCAAUAUUUGCCUUCCGGUCCCUCAGCAGGGUCCCUCCUUGCAAUCCCUUGACUCCGUCCGAAGACCCCCCGUGUGUGUGAGGGGAUAACACCAACAAAACCACCCCUUCCUCACUUAUUGACUCUAUAGAAGACUCCCAGACUUCAUACUCUGAAGACGAGACUGAGCUAAAUAAUGAGUAUGGUAUGGUAUGACCGUUAGGACAACUUGACAAUGCCAAUGUUUGAAGGUCAAUAUAGUACUCUCAGAUAAUCCUGCUCUGUCAAAUCAUGCUGUUGCUCGGACAACUGGUUCACUUGACAGAACCAUCUAAGACACUAAGAAUGGGGAGAUCUUAACCCUGAUAUUGGAUGAUGAUGUGAGACAGGGGCAGACGGUAUGUGUGAACAACAAGGCUCCAAUCGAAAUUGCUUUGAAAAUACACCGCUUCACUCAAGCUCUCCGUACCAAGGACACUUCAGGUAUUUCAUACAUUAACGGCUGUCUUUUGGACACAUUUUCAAUGGAUGGUUGUUCUAAAAAUGAAUUAUCAAAAAUAUUUUUGAAGGACAAAACAAGCAUUCGAAAGCAUUCAAAGACCACUCCAAUGCGCUCGAUACAAGGGAAAUGUAUGUUGACGACAAUCAAAGGUCAAAUAAACGCAUGACAGGUUUGUUGUCUAGACCAGGGUUUCCCUAACCCGGUCCUGGGCCCCCCACAUUUUAGUUUUUGCCCUAGCACUACACAGCUGAUUCAAAUAAUCAAAGCUUGAUGAUGAGUUGGUUAUUUAAAUCAGCUGUGUAGUGCUAGGGGAAAAAACAAAAAAGUGCACCCCAGGGCCCCCCCGCCGAGUUUGAGAAACCCUGGUCUAGACGGACAACAGCUCAUUAGGACAACUCAUGAACAGAGGCUUUCUUGACACAUUGCAAGAUGUACACUGCACGAUAUAAGUAAAGAGUCUAUAUUUCGUGAUAUCAACCAGCGCUAAGUGCGUCGAUACUAGGGUCGAAAUGGAGAUCAGCUUUCUCCAUUCAAAUAUUUCCAUAACAUUAUAAUUAUUUCACAAUACUGACGACGGAUCAGCUCCUUGAGAGAUAUUUCCACCUAUGGCUGCAAAUAUUGAGCGGCGUAUUCUAAUGCUUUUAAUGCUUACCCAAUAAAAAUGCACUAAAUCACUGAUUUGGCACAUCAUUGCGCACAUGUUAGGCUACACAUCAUUAAAUAUAUUUAGAGAAAUUAUAUACAGUAGCCUACAUGUAGAAAAAUAGAACUUAAUUGAUUGAACAUGAAAUGUUUUUCAACAUAUUAUUGAAAACACCUACAGCCUACUGUUUAUAUUUUAAUGCAGUCAUCUCGGUUUUCACUUUGAAGCAUAUUUUUAUACGUCGCUCGUUUGUAUCAAUUGCAAAGACAUUAGCAAAUUCGUCUUUGUCGUGAACUUUGUUCUGAAGUUAUCGGCGGUCACAGAGAGAUCAGUCAACCAUGUGAUUCUAUGUUUAGCGGAGAUCUUCUGUUCAUUAAGUGAUGCUAGAGGGCAAAAAAGCAUCUAAAGUUGCACUUAGCUAUUCUACGAGUGAUCUGAGUCAGGCGUUAGAUUACGAGGGCUUUCAAGUGCAAUGUUAAUGAUAGUUUUGGGAAACAGCUCAGAUAUUUAACGUUGCUCCUACAAAGGGUUUAACGAUGAACUUAGCUUUAAGAUGCUUUUGGGAAACCGGGCCCAGGUCAUGAGAUACUACGAAAUGUAUGACUAGUUCAAGAGGUAACAAUGUAACCCUCAACCUGUUGACGAGUUUGUGAAUAUCACCUUAAGAGGAAAACAGGAUAACAUCAAAUACUUUGUCCUCUUUUCCUGUAUGCAUUUCACUGUGCUGUGGUGCAGAAAAUAAAGGUAUAUGAGCAUGCAAGAAAGGGAGUAUAAGAAAUCUAUGAGAAUAUGACAUGAUUUACUGCUUUAAUUUCAGUGCUGUGUCAUGAGCUUGUGUAGUACGCUAUGCAACACCUUUCUAACUCUGUAUGUACCUGUAUGUACCUCUUCUUCGGUGGCACAUCGCCACAUGUAUGAGACAACCAAAGGUCAUCCCAAAUGUCUCAUCGUUGUGCCUCUGAAUGACAUUCCUGAUCUAUUGAACGUUAAACUGAGGCUAGUCUUGACUGUAGGGUCGAUGUGCUAACGUAAUCAGUGACCAGACAACCUAUUUAUGCAUAUGAAUGUAUCCCUUGAUGGACAUGCUGCGAUCAAAACAAUGUCACCAUAACCAAGCUCUGCUAGAGUGAAUGUUGUGCAGCGCUCUGACAUUUCUGUGUCCCUCGCAUAAUUUAUGAACAAAUAAAUGCUCUGUGGCAUCUUGGUUCUUAGGAGUGAUACAUUUUAGAUCACAUUACAUAGACUAAUUCUACGUGCAUUGACACGAUUACCAUUUUGGAUUUGCUGUGUACCAGGGUUGGCAUCAAUCCCAUUUCAAUCCAGUCAAUGCCCAAUGUGAAUCCAAAAACGAGUGUCAUUUAUUUUCAGUGAGGACAUAUUCUCCGUCACUCUGUGUGUCUCCUUCCUCAUUGCCGUGGCCCACACAGCUUCUGAUCCAUGACCCUGGUCUACUGCAUCUCUAGCUCCAGUACUGGUGGAGCUCUGAGAGUUGAAUCUGGGAUUACUCCAUCCUUCAAGAGCCAAUUGGGUCAGGAGGAUAUAGAGGGUCAGGCAGCAUGGUCGGGAGUGGGCUGGGCCAGGAGCUUAGAGAGGAGGCUCUGGAGCGAGAGCCCAGGGCCAAAGCUGUCUGGAGGUCCUGCGGCACUGGGAUUUGGAAAAGUGUAUUUAUGGGAACUGAGAAUUGAACGUGUGUGAGAGUACAGUACAUGCUUGCAUAAAGUAUGUGUAUUUGCAGAAGUGCGUGCAGCUUGUGCACCUGGUAUGUGAGUUAUGUGCUACUAGGGCUUCUGCAGAUAGAUACCCACAUAUCAGAGUGUAUGUGCAAAUAAUAGUGUGUCUAUGCGGGUGCAAAGGCUGAGUGGUGGCGUAGAGUGAGGCAGGACUUGUGUAUGUGUCACACCAAAGCCUGCCAAGACGGCAAGGUUCCCACCCCUCCUCACUGGAUCACAGCAGAACAUCUCACCAAAUGGUGCAAGCUGCUCAUUGCCAGAUCAGACUGUUUGUGUCAGUAGGCAGGUUUCCAUUCUCAGGUUUAUUCAACAAAGCAAAAAAAAUUGUUUGCGACGUGUAAUGGAAACGGCAGAUAUACAUAUUUUCUAAACAUCGGUAACAUUUUUAUCCGAUUGACAGGGGUGGAUUUUUUGGUUGAACUUCGUGACAAAUGAAGUGGAACGUUUUUUUUUUCUUUUCUUGAAUCAAUGUUUGGUGAAUAAGUUUGCAAGCCACGUGAUGUCGUCACACAACUCAAGCUCCACUCCACAUUCAAUUCUAAAUGUCUAUUGCUAGCAAAAUACAUUUUUUUAAACAAAAAUGUUUUCUUUGCAGGACAAGGAUUGUCCUGACUUUCAAGAAUGCCUGAAUUGCUUCAUCUUGCUUUUCUGGUUGGCUGGAUGCAAGUUUCACCAUCCAAUUAUAACAGAUCUACAGGAGUGCAAAUCUCACCGUGGCACAGUCAAGUGGGGCACAUGAUCAUUAUUAGAAUAUGGCAAAUAUUAGUCAAUUAUUGCAUUCUAUCCAUGCUGGCUUUUGCAGGCUACCAGAGACAUUAACAUUAUUGGUGGGAGGGCAUACAGGCUGUCACCAAUGUAUUAUUGCGCAAUUUGCCUAAAUGGGUGAUCGAAACACUUCAACCACUUCACUUUUAUUCAACACUGGUUUAUUUUUUGUUGUUGGGGUGUGACAUUAAGUCCAGCUGUUUUUAAAAUCGAUAUAGGAUGGUUAAUUGGAAACAGGCAGGCAAUUGUCGCAUCUAUUUUCUAUGCAAACUUUAAUGUCAACAAAAUCACUGGACAAGUUAAUGGAAACAGAGGAUCUCACACACACACACACACACACACACGGUUGGCUGUGAGAAACAUACCUGUAUACAUUGAGAUGGAUGGGGAGGGUGGAGGCUUUGGGGAUUGUGAAAAUUGAGGGGUAGAGAUUCAGUGGUUGAACUGGAGAUGAGAAGACGUGCAGUUUUAGACAAACAAAUGUCUAAAAACAUGGAGCUAUUUAUUUGUGGGGAAAUUAGUCUUCACUGCAAACCUUGAAAGAUGACCUUGAAAGAUGGAAUCUGAACAACCCUGUACCUUGUGGACAACUUUAUUGUACAAAUAAAAAGUAACAAAAUACACAA
Oncorhynchus kisutch (coho salmon) is the source of this 5717-nucleotide RNA transcript. RefSeq lists it as uncharacterized. The transcript is spliced from 6 exons. The record is from RefSeq and is a predicted model, not a curated record. Lineage: Eukaryota; Metazoa; Chordata; Actinopteri; Salmoniformes; Salmonidae.